Molecule: ribosomal RNA, 254 nt
Filed under: uncultured bacterium
Lineage: Bacteria
Description: partial 16S ribosomal RNA
Rfam family: Bacterial small subunit ribosomal RNA
Source: RNAcentral
UACGUAGGGUGCGAGCGUUGUCCGGAAUUAUUGGGCGUAAAGAGCUUGUAGGCGGUUUGUCGCGUCUGCCGUGAAAAUUCGAGGCUCAACCUCGAACUUGCGGUGGGUACGGGCAGACUAGAGUGUGGUAGGGGAGACUGGAAUUCCUGGUGUAGCGGUGAAAUGCGCAGAUAUCAGGAGGAACACCGGUGGCGAAGGCGGGUCUCUGGGCCGAUACUGACGCUGAGGAGCGAAAGCGUGGGGAGGCGAACAGG